Molecule: ribosomal RNA, 253 nt
Filed under: uncultured bacterium
Lineage: Bacteria
Description: partial 16S ribosomal RNA
Rfam family: Bacterial small subunit ribosomal RNA
Source: RNAcentral
UACGGGGGGGGCAAGCGUUGUUCGGAAUUACUGGGCGUAAAGGGCCAGUAGGCGGCCAACUAAGCCAGAUGUGAAAUCCCCGGGCUCAACCUGGGAAUGGCAUUUGGGACUGCAAGGCUAGAGUGUGGCAGAGGAGACUGGAAUUCCUGGUGUAGCAGUGAAAUGCGUAGAUAUCAGGAGGAAUACCGAUGGCGAAGGCAGGUCUCUGGGUUAACACUGACGCUCAUGCACGAAAGCGUGGGGAGCAAACAGG